CAAGGUUUCCAGGGGAAGGUUCGUCCGCCCUGGGUUAGUCGGGACCUAAGCUGAGGCCGAAAGGCGUAGGUGAUGGACAACAGGUUGAUAUUCCUGUACUACCGAUAACCGUUUGAGAGAAGGGAUGACACAGUAGGAUAAGCUAAGCACACUGUUGGUUAUGUGUGCCCAAGCAUUGAGGCAGUCAAAGUAGGCAAAUCCGCUUUGAUAAUGCUGGGAUGUGAUGGGGAGCGAAAUUUAGUAGCGAAGUAGCUGAUUUCACACUGUCAAGAAAAGUCUCUAUCGAGGUUAAAGGUACCCGUACCGCAAACCGACACAGGUGGGUGAGGAGAGUAUCCUAAGGCCAGCGAGAGAACUGUUGUUAAGGAACUCGGCAAAAUGACCCCGUAACUUAGGGAUAAGGGGUGCCACCAUCAGGUGGCCGCAGAGAAUAGGCCCAAGCGACUGUUUACCAAAAACAUAGGUUUCUGCUAAGUCGCAAGACGAUGUAUAGGAGCUGACGCCUGCCCGGUGCUGGAAGGUUAAGGGGAUCUGUUAGAGCAAUCGAAGCAGUGAACUUAAGCCCCAGUAAACGGCGGCCGUAACUAUAACGGUCCUAAGGUAGCGAAAUUCCUUGUCGGGUAAGUUCCGACCCGCACGAAAGGCGUAACGAUUUGGGCACUGUCUCAACAACAGACUCGGUGAAAUUGUAAUUCCGGUGAAGAUGCCGGAUACCUGCGACAGGACGGAAAGACCCCAUGGAGCUUUACUGUAGCUUGACAUUGGGUCUUGGUACUACAUGUACAGGAUAGGUGGGAGGCUUUGAAACCAGGACGCCAGUUUUGGCGGAGCCAUCCUUGGGAUACCACCCUUGUAGUACUGGGACUCUAACCAUAGGCCAUGAAUCUGGUCUUGGGACACUGUCAGGUGGGCAGUUUGACUGGGGCGGUCGCCUCCCAAAAGGUAACGGAGGCGCUCAAAGGUUCUCUCAGUACGGUCGGAAAUCGUACGUAGAGUGUAAAGGCAAAAGAGAGCUUGAUUGCAAGACAUACAGGUCGAGCAAGGAUGAAAAUCGGACUUAGUGAUCCGGUGGUUCUGCGUGGAAGGGCCAUCGCUCAACGGAUAAAAGCUACCCUGGGGAUAACAGGCUUAUCUCCCCCAAGAGUCCACAUCGACGGGGAGGUUUGGCACCUCGAUGUCGGCUCAUCACAUCCUGGGGCUGUAGUAGGUCCCAAGGGUUGGGCUGUUCGCCCAUUAAAGUGGUACGCGAGCUGGGUUCAGAACGUCGUGAGACAGUUCGGUCCCUAUCCGUCGCAGGCGUAGGAAAUUUGAGAAGACCUGUCCUUAGUACGAGAGGACCGGGAUGGACGUACCUCUGGUGUACCAGUUGUCCUGCCAAGGGCAUGGCUGGGUAGCUAUGUACGGAAUGGAUAAGCGCUGAAAGCAUCUAAGCGCGAAGCCAACUUCAAGAUAAGAUUUCCCACCGCAAGGGUAAGACCCCAGAAAGACUAUCUGGUUGAUAGGUCGAAGGUGUAAGUGCAGCAAUGUAUUUAGCUUAUCGAUACUAAUAG
RNAcentral lists this ribosomal RNA (1550 nucleotides) under Clostridioides difficile. RNAcentral describes it as "partial 23S ribosomal RNA". It matches the Rfam family "Bacterial large subunit ribosomal RNA", at positions 1346 to 2907 of the family's 2925-position model. The record is from RNAcentral. Lineage: Bacteria; Bacillati; Bacillota; Clostridia; Peptostreptococcales; Peptostreptococcaceae.